CCGGCCAACUACGUGCCAGCAGCCGCGGUGAUACGUAGGGUGCAAGCGUUGUCCGGAUUUAUUGGGCGUAAAGAGCUCGUAGGCGGUUUGGUAAGUCGGGUGUGAAACCCCCAGGCUCAACCUGGGGCCGCCAUCCGAUACUGCCAUGACUUGAGUCCGGUAGGGGACCAUGGAAUUCCUGGUGUAGCGGUGAAAUGCGCAGAUAUCAGGAGGAACACCAGUAGCGAAGGCGGUGGUCUGGGCCGGUACUGACGCUGAGGAGCGAAAGCGUGGGGAGCGAACAGGAUUAGGUACCCUGGUAGUCCACGCCGUAAACGUUGGGCACUAGGUGUGGGGACUAUUCAACGGUCUCCGUGCCGCAGCUAACGCAUUAAGUGCCCCGCCUGGGGAGUACGGCCGC
Molecule: ribosomal RNA, 400 nt
Filed under: uncultured bacterium
Lineage: Bacteria
Description: bacterial SSU rRNA
Rfam family: Bacterial small subunit ribosomal RNA
Source: RNAcentral